GGAUCAAUAUAUCGGUCGUGCCUCUGGUUCGUACUGGUAUCAUUGAUUUCUCCUUUCUGACGAACCAUGAUGUCAUUAAUUUGGUGUUAUGGGGAGUUAGGACUGUUACUUUGAAAAAAUUAGAGUGUUUAAAGCAGGCAUUAGCUUGAAUACAUUAGCAUGGAAUAAUGAAAUAGGACGUUUGACCCUAUUUUGUUGGUUUCUAGGAUCGACGUAAUGAUUAAUAGGGAUAGUUGGGGGCAUUAGUAUUCAAUUGUCAGAGGUGAAAUUCUUGGAUUUAUUGAAGACUAACUACUGCGAAAGCAUUUGCCAAGGAUGUUUUCAUUAAUCAAGAACGAAAGUUAGGGGAUCGAAGACGAUCAGAUACCGUCGUAGUCUUAACCAUAAACUAUGCCGACUAGGGAUCGGAUGAUGUUAAUUUUAUAAUGACUCAUUCGGCGCCUUACGGGAAACCAAAGUGUUUGGGUUCCGGGGGGAGUAUGGUCGCAAGGCUGAAACUUAAAGGAAUUGACGGAAGGGCACCACCAGGGGUGGAGCCUGCGGCUUAAUUUGACUCAACACGGGGAAACUCACCAGGUCCAGACAUAGUAAGGAUUGACAGAUUGAGAGC
This 610-nucleotide ribosomal RNA is filed under the name Glomus sp. ZJ. RNAcentral describes it as "SSU rRNA". It matches the Rfam family "Eukaryotic small subunit ribosomal RNA", at positions 647 to 1255 of the family's 1831-position model. The record is from RNAcentral. Lineage: Eukaryota; Fungi; Glomeromycota; Glomeromycetes; Glomerales; Glomeraceae.